GUAGGUGGCCAAGCGUGGUCCGGAACUUUGGGCGUAAAGGGCUCGCAGGCGGUUUCUUAAGUCUGAUGUGAAAGCCCCCGGCUCAACCCGGGGAGGGUCAUUGGAAACUGGGGAACUUGAGUGCAGAAGAGGAGAGUGGAAUUCCCACGUGUAGCGGUGAAAUGCGUAGAGAUGUGGAGGAACACCCAGUGGCGAAGGCGACUCUCUGGUCUGUAACUGACGCUGAGGAGCGAAAGCGUGGGGAGCGAACAGGAUUAGAUACCCUGGUAGUCCACGCCGUAAACGAUGAGUGCUAAGUGUUAGGGGGUUUCCGCCCCUUAGUGCUGCAGCUAACGCAUUAAGCACUCCGCCUGGGGAGUACGGUCGCAAGACUGAAACUCAAAGGAAUUGACGGGGGCCCGCACAAGCGGUGGAGCAUGUGGUUUAAUUCGAAGCAACGCGAAGAACCUUACCAGGUCUUGACAUCCUCUGACAAUCCUAGAGAUAGGACGUCCCCUUCGGGGGCAGAGUGACAGGUGGUGCAUGGUUGUCGUCAGCUCGUGUCGUGAGAUGUUGGGUUAAGUCCCGCAACGAGCGCAACCCUUGAUCUUAGUUGCCAGCAUUCAGUUGGGCACUCUAAGGUGACUGCCGGUGACAAACCGGAGGAAGGUGGGGAUGACGUCAAAUCAUCAUGCCCCUUAUGACCUGGGCUACACACGUGCUACAAUGGACAGAACAAAGGGCAGCGAAACCGCGAGGUUAAGCCAAUCCCACAAAUCUGUUCUCAGUUCGGAUCGCAGUCUGCAACUCGACUGCGGAAUGCUGGAAUCGCUAGUAAUCGCGGAUCAGCAGGCCGCGGGAAACGAUUGUUUUU
This 853-nucleotide ribosomal RNA is filed under the name Bacillus subtilis. RNAcentral's name for it is "bacterial SSU rRNA". It matches the Rfam family "Bacterial small subunit ribosomal RNA", at positions 527 to 1375 of the family's 1533-position model. Lineage: Bacteria; Bacillati; Bacillota; Bacilli; Caryophanales; Bacillaceae. The record is from RNAcentral.